AGAGUUUGAUCAUGGCUCAGAUUGAACGCUGGCGGCAGGCCUAACACAUGCAAGUCGAACGGUAACAGGAAACAGCUUGCUGUUUCGCUGACGAGUGGCGGACGGGUGAGUAAUGUCUGGGAAACUGCCUGAUGGAGGGGGAUAACUACUGGAAACGGUAGCUAAUACCGCAUAACGUCGCAAGACCAAAGAGGGGGACCUUAGGGCCUCUUGCCAUCGGAUGUGCCCAGAUGGGAUUAGCUAGUAGGUGGGGUAAAGGCUCACCUAGGCGACGAUCCCUAGCUGGUCUGAGAGGAUGACCAGCCACACUGGAACUGAGACACGGUCCAGACUCCUACGGGAGGCAGCAGUGGGGAAUAUUGCACAAUGGGCGCAAGCCUGAUGCAGCCAUGCCGCGUGUAUGAAGAAGGCCUUCGGGUUGUAAAGUACUUUCAGCGGGGAGGAAGGGAGUAAAGUUAAUACCUUUGCUCAUUGACGUUACCCGCAGAAGAAGCACCGGCUAACUCCGUGCCAGCAGCCGCGGUAAUACGGAGGGUGCAAGCGUUAAUCGGAAUUACUGGGCGUAAAGCGCACGCAGGCGGUUUGUUAAGUCAGAUGUGAAAUCCCCGGGCUCAACCUGGGAACUGCAUCUGAUACUGGCAAGCUUGAGUCUCGUAGAGGGGGGUAGAAUUCCAGGUGUAGCGGUGAAAUGCGUAGAGAUCUGGAGGAAUACCGGUGGCGAAGGCGGCCCCCUGGACGAAGACUGACGCUCAGGUGCGAAAGCGUGGGGAGCAAACAGGAUUAGAUACCCUGGUAGUCCACGCCGUAAACGAUGUCGACUUGGAGGUUGUGCCCUUGAGGCGUGGCUUCCGGAGCUAACGCGUUAAGUCGACCGCCUGGGGAGUACGGCCGCAAGGUUAAAACUCAAAUGAAUUGACGGGGGCCCGCACAAGCGGUGGAGCAUGUGGUUUAAUUCGAUGCAACGCGAAGAACCUUACCUGGUCUUGACAUCCACGGAAGUUUUCAGAGAUGAGAAUGUGCCUUCGGGAACCGUGAGACAGGUGCUGCAUGGCUGUCGUCAGCUCGUGUUGUGAAAUGUUGGGUUAAGUCCCGCAACGAGCGCAACCCUUAUCCUUUGUUGCCAGCGGUCCGGCCGGGAACUCAAAGGAGACUGCCAGUGAUAAACUGGAGGAAGGUGGGGAUGACGUCAAGUCAUCAUGGCCCUUACGACCAGGGCUACACACGUGCUACAAUGGCGCAUACAAAGAGAAGCGACCUCGCGAGAGCAAGCGGACCUCAUAAAGUGCGUCGUAGUCCGGAUUGGAGUCUGCAACUCGACUCCAUGAAGUCGGAAUCGCUAGUAAUCGUGGAUCAGAAUGCCACGGUGAAUACGUUCCCGGGCCUUGUACACACCGCCCGUCACACCAUGGGAGUGGGUUGCAAAAGAAGUAGGUAGCUUAACCUUCGGGAGGGCGCUUACCACUUUGUGAUUCAUGACUGGGGUGAAGUCGUAACAAGGUAACCGUAGGGGAACCUGCGGUUG
RNAcentral lists this ribosomal RNA (1522 nucleotides) under Escherichia coli. Its description in RNAcentral is "bacterial SSU rRNA". It matches the Rfam family "Bacterial small subunit ribosomal RNA". The record is from RNAcentral. Lineage: Bacteria; Pseudomonadati; Pseudomonadota; Gammaproteobacteria; Enterobacterales; Enterobacteriaceae. RNAcentral also lists the same sequence under 2 other names.